UAACACGGCCAUUUGGCAAUGCAAAGCUCUAGGCUUGUAUUACUAAAAGUCCAUAUACAGUAUAAAGCUGUUUUUUGUGGAUCGGGCCCAAAUGGCUCUGGGUGUAAUCCUGCCGUUAUUUAGACGCGUGAGAGAUUUCGGAUAAAAACAGUCGACCGUCUGGCUCUUCUUAGAAUUGAGACCCCACAGACGUGGCCUAGUGUUUUCUUGUGUGCUGAAGAGGAUCUUGAACCAAGCAAAUGGCCUUAUGGUCCAGUCUCAGUAGAGCUGCUCUAAACUUCCCCAUUUGUUUUUCUUUGUUUGUUACUUUGUUUACUGGUAAUGCAGCAGGUUUUAAGGACUAAUGAUAUGAUGGAUUGGGUUAUCAGUGUCCCACAGAAGCAUGAGCGGCCUGUCAGAUGGCUUUUGAUGUUCGACAGCUCCAAUCUCCUUCGCCUCAUGCUUUGAUGAUCCACUCUACCUCCAGAUGAAUCAACACGGCAAGUGUUCCCAGGAUGGACUCACUGUGUUCAGGCUGGACUCAGUGUCCCCAGAAAGGACUCAGCGUUCCCGGGCUGGACUCAGUGUCCCCAGGACCUCCGGCAGCCCUGAACGAUUUUAGUUGAAUAAAAAUUAACCGAAAUGUAGCCCAAAAUACUGAUAUCUUGAAAAAGUGUCCACUAAUAUGAAUUAAUAAAUUAAUUAAUGUAAUUAUUUUUUUAUUUAUAUGCUGAGUGAAAUCAUUUCAUUUGAACAUUAGCUUCACCCUAAAUUGUUCAUUUGGAGAAAGCUAUACAAAACAAAAUGAUUUGCUUUACUUGAUUCAUUAACUCCUCUAACUUUUGUGCAAUUAAAAAAAAGUUAUUGUUUGAUGUAUAAAAUGUAGUAUAUAUGUUUUCCGAUUCAGAUGCAAGGUUCAGUUGAGCAUGCAGCUGCUUUUUUAAUGAUUGUCUGUGAUUAAAAUCCUCCUGUACAGGGACGUGGCCUUAAA
Molecule: long non-coding RNA, 970 nt
Organism: Silurus meridionalis
Lineage: Eukaryota; Metazoa; Chordata; Actinopteri; Siluriformes; Siluridae
Exons: 3
Source: RefSeq, a predicted model, not a curated record